UUUUUAUUUUAUCUUCAUCUAUAUAUAUAUAAUUAUAUUUAUUUGUAUUUA
This 51-nucleotide small RNA is filed under the name Plasmodium falciparum 3D7. Its description in RNAcentral is "Pfa-npcR7129". Lineage: Eukaryota; Apicomplexa; Aconoidasida; Haemosporida; Plasmodiidae. The record is from RNAcentral.